UGUCCUACGGGAGGCAGCAGUAGGGAAUCUUCCACAAUGGGCGAAAGCCUGAUGGAGCAACGCCGCGUGAGUGAAGAAGGGUUUCGGCUCGUAAAGCUCUGUUGGUAGUGAAGAAGGAUAGAGGUAGUAACUGGCCUUUAUUUGACGGUAAUUACUUAGAAAGUCACGGCUAACUACGUGCCAGCAGCCGCGGUAAUACGUAGGGGGCAAGCGUUGUCCGGAAUUACUGGGUGUAAAGGGAGCGUAGACGGUUAAGUAAGUCUGGAGUGAAAGGCCGGGGCC
Molecule: ribosomal RNA, 282 nt
Filed under: uncultured bacterium
Lineage: Bacteria
Description: partial 16S ribosomal RNA
Rfam family: Bacterial small subunit ribosomal RNA
Source: RNAcentral